This 944-nucleotide long non-coding RNA is filed under the name Homo sapiens (human). RNAcentral's name for it is "non-protein coding lnc-SLC22A18AS-1:1". The record is from RNAcentral. Lineage: Eukaryota; Metazoa; Chordata; Mammalia; Primates; Hominidae.
GAUCAAGAAGCUGUCCGGGCCUCUGAUCUCCGGUGAGCCCCGCACGGCCCCGCCCCGGCCCGGCCCGGCCCCGCUUUGUCCGGCCGGCCGGUCCCCCCAGCCCUCGGGGGCCUCGCUGGGUUCCCGCCUCCUCCCGUGGCAUUAAAGGGCCCGCAGCGCUCAGGGCGCGGCUGCGCCCUUACCCCCCUCCCCGCCCCGUUGUUGUGCCCUCCAGCGGCUUCGCGCGGGCGGGGUGGGAGGCUGAAUCCCGGCCGCGACCCCCCGGGAGCGCAGUUUUCGCCCCCGGCCGCGGGAGCCCCUCCCCGGGCGCGGCCGGGCGCCGUGAGCACGGCGUGGAGGGGGUUAAGCGCGGCGGCGGCCCCGGGGGGCUUGGCCGCGGGACAAGGGGAAAUGCUUACACAGCACAUUGCGCGGCGACGUAAACAAAGCUGACCCGCCGCGGACCUCGGCGCGGGCGGGGACGGCGCCCCCACCCCGGCCGGCCCGCGCCCCGCGCCCUCUCCCGGCCCCCUCUCGGGUCUCCGGGCCGGCCCCGCCCUGACCGGCCGCGCGCGCUGUCGCCCGCAGAUUUCUUCGCCAAGCGCAAGAGAUCAGCGCCUGAGAAGUCGUCGGGCGAUGUCCCCGCGCCGUGUCCCUCUCCAAGCGCCGCCCCUGGCGUGGGCUCGGUGGAGCAGACCCCGCGCAAGAGGCUGCGGUGAGCCAAUUUAGAGCCCAAAGAGCCCCGAGGGAACCUGCCGGGGCAGCGGACGUUGGAAGGGCGCUGGGCCUCGGCUGGGACCGUUCAUGUAGCAGCAACCGGCGGCGGCUGCCGCAGAGCAGCGUUCGGUUUUGUUUUUAAAUUUUGAAAACUGUGCAAUGUAUUAAUAACGUCUUUUUAUAUCUAAAUGUAUUCUGCACGAGAAGGUACACUGGUCCCAAGGUGUAAAGCUUUAAGAGUCAUUUAU